This 444-nucleotide ribosomal RNA is filed under the name uncultured bacterium. RNAcentral describes it as "bacterial SSU rRNA". It matches the Rfam family "Bacterial small subunit ribosomal RNA", at positions 340 to 784 of the family's 1533-position model. The record is from RNAcentral.
UACGGAAGGCAGCAGUGGGGAAUAUUGCACAAUGGGCGCAAGCCUGAUGCAGCGACGCCGCGUGAGGGAUGACGGCCUUCGGGUUGUAAACCUCUUUCAGUAUGGAACAAGGAUCCUUCUUUUGGGGGUUUGAGGGUACGUGCAGAAGAAGCGCCGGCUAACUACGUGCCAGCAGCCGCGGUAAUACGUAGGGCGCGAGCGUUGUCCGGAUUUAUUGGGCGUAAAGAGCUCGUAGGCGGUUUGUCGCGUCUGCCGUGAAAUUUCCUGGCUUAACUGGGAGCGUGCGGUGGUACGGGCAGACUGGAGUGCGGUAGGGGAGACUGGAAUUCCUGGUGUAGCGGUGGAAUGCGCAGAUAUCAGGAGGAACACCGGUGGCGAAGGCGGGUCUCUGGGCCGUUCUGACGCUGAGGAGCGAAAGCAUGGGGAGCGAACAGGGAUUAGAUA